UGACAAUGAUGAGCCUUUUUUUCCCGAAUCUGAUCUUCCAUUGAUGAGCCAAACAUUACGGAUCUGACUGCUGAGUU
Molecule: small nucleolar RNA, 77 nt
Organism: Girardinichthys multiradiatus
Lineage: Eukaryota; Metazoa; Chordata; Actinopteri; Cyprinodontiformes; Goodeidae
Product: small nucleolar RNA SNORD50
Exons: 1
Source: RefSeq, a predicted model, not a curated record